RNAcentral lists this ribosomal RNA (498 nucleotides) under uncultured bacterium. RNAcentral's name for it is "bacterial SSU rRNA". It matches the Rfam family "Bacterial small subunit ribosomal RNA", at positions 28 to 508 of the family's 1533-position model. The record is from RNAcentral.
GACGAACGCUGGCGGCAUGCCUAAUACAUGCAAGUCGAACGCUGAAGCACUCUGCUUGCAGAGUGCGGAUGAGUGGCGAACGGGUGAGUAACACGUGGGAAAUCUGCCUAUAAGUGGGGGAUAACAUUCGGAAACGGAUGCUAAUACCGCAUAUAUUCUUGGACCGCCUGGUCCUUGAAAGAAAGACGGCUUUGCUGUCGCUUAUAGAUGAUCCCGCGGCGUAUUAGUUAGUUGGUGGGGUAAAGGCCUACCAAGACAAUGAUACGUAGCCGACCUGAGAGGGUGAUCGGCCACACUGGGACUGAGACACGGCCCAGACUCCUACGGGAGGCAGCAGUAGGGAAUCUUCCACAAUGGGCGAAAGCCUGAUGGAGCAAUGCCGCGUGAAUGAAGAAGGUCUUCGGAUCGUAAAGUUCUGUUAUUAGAGAAGAACAAGUCAAGGAGUAACUGUCUUGACUUUGACGGUACCUAACCAGAAAGUCACGGCUAACUACGUGC